GCCACACAAAUGGCAGCAGGCCAGGCCCUGGGAGUGGCCACCUGAACGGAGCCACCUCAGUCCCAGGGUGUGCUCCCAGGUACUGUGAAUCGGGGUCCGUCCUCAGGCGACAAGCAAGUGCACACCCGGAAGCAGAGAGCAGCCUGCACUGGCUCCUGGUGGCUCCUCUCCUGAGAGGGACGCAGAAGCUGUCAGGGGCUCCAGAGCCACCUGUUAAACUCUGCUCCUGACGUUUGUCACCAUCUGAAAGCCGGUCACUGAACUUUCAAGUUCUCUGAGUUGACCCCACAUGCAGGGCCUACCGCUCUGGCCACCCACCUCUGGCAUCAGUCACAGAGUAGCUGGACAGGAGUCAGGCGGCCAUCAGCAGGGUUGAGCCCUAGGCCUCAGUAUCAGGCCUACGCGGUUCCAGAGAGUUGCCUCUGGCUCACCCCCCGGGGUUCAGGAGGGGACAGGGGCUCUGAGGAGGGACAGAUGGCGGACGGGAGGUGAGCUGGGCUCUGGGUCACAUGGCUGGGGACCCCAUUCUGGGGCAUGUCUCUGAGUUGUGCUGCAGAGAGCUGUGUCUCUGAAGCAGGGUCUGCCUGACCAUCCUGGGGGCUGCGAGGAAGACACUCUGGAGAAGGCCCAGAACAGGCUAGGCAGCAAGCAAGGAGGCUGAGCGGGCAGCUGGUGGGGGGGCAGGUUGGCAGCAGCCACUCCAGGGUCUCUCCCAGCCCUCCUGGGUGCCAGGCUCGUCUCCCCUGCUCACCUCGUCCCUUGCUUUUGCACUUGGGGGACAGUUCUGAUUGGUCACUCAGGGCUGGAGAUGCCUGUCCUGCCCACACCUCCAACCCCUUGCAUAGAGUGUGUGCAGCACUUGCUGGCUGGACCUCACAGGCCACCAGAAUAGCAAUGUGACCUUGCCAGCACAUACUGGGUCCGGAGG
RNAcentral lists this long non-coding RNA (928 nucleotides) under Marmota monax (woodchuck). Lineage: Eukaryota; Metazoa; Chordata; Mammalia; Rodentia; Sciuridae. The record is from RNAcentral.